AAAAUUUUAUUUUAUUUAAAAUAUAAUAUUUACAAUAUUAAGUUAUAUUAAUAAUAUAAAUUUUA
Molecule: transfer RNA, 65 nt
Filed under: Proterops sp. QL-2014
Lineage: Eukaryota; Metazoa; Arthropoda; Insecta; Hymenoptera; Braconidae
Description: tRNA-Val
Source: RNAcentral